Non-coding RNA from Sesamum indicum (sesame), 2001 nucleotides. Lineage: Eukaryota; Viridiplantae; Streptophyta; Magnoliopsida; Lamiales; Pedaliaceae. The record is from RefSeq and is a predicted model, not a curated record.
GGGGUGGGGGUGUAGUUGUGUAUAGUAUUGAGCGGUGACAUAUAUAGAGACAUCCAACAAUAAACCACGGUUGUGAGUGAGAUACAACAGAGUUGGCAUAUGGCCAUGGCCACCCUUUUCCGGGUUCUUCUUCUCAUCCUCAUCUUUUCAGAUUCAUUUGUUAGCAUCCGCAGCCUCGGAUUAGGAAUUAAUUAUGGCCAGAUUGCCAACAAUCUCCCAUCACCGUCACGUGUUGCAUAUCUACUCGGAUCUCUCAACAUAAGCAGAGUAAAACUUUAUGAUGCUGAUCCAAAUGUGUUAUCAGCAUUCGCCAAUACUGAUGUUGAAUUUGUUAUCGGACUUGGAAAUGAGUAUCUGCAAAAGAUGACUGAUCCAAUUCAAGCACAAGGGUGGAUUCAACAGCACGUGCGACCUUACAUAUCUCAAACCAAGAUCAAGUGCAUCACUGUCGGAAAUGAGGUUCUCACAGGCAAUAAUACUCAGUUAAUGUCAUAUCUUCUCCCGGCAAUGCAGACUGUGAAUGGGGCUCUUGCAAAUCUUGGCUUAAGCAAGGAGAUAUACGUGACCACUGCUCAUUCAUUUGGAAUCUUAGGUAACUCUUUUCCACCUUCUGCGGGUGCGUUCCGACAAGAUCUUACUGAGUACAUCCAGAGUAUUCUCAAUUUCCAUUCACAGACUCACUCGCCAUUCCUUAUAAAUGCUUAUCCUUUCUUCGCGUAUAAGGAUAAUCCACAGCAGAUAUCAUUGAACUAUGCACUUUUCCAGCCUGAUCCUGGUAUGACGGAUUCAGUGACAAAUUUGCAUUAUGAUAACAUGUUAUACGCACAAAUUGAUGCUGUUUAUUCAGCAAUCAAAGCACUGGGACAUACAGAUAUACAAGUUAAAGUUUCUGAGACAGGUUGGCCGUCAAAAGGGGAUCCCGAUGAGGUAGGGGCUACACCAGAAAAUGCCAGAUUAUAUAAUGGUAAUUUGCUAAGACGAAUAGAGCAAAAUCAAGGGACUCCUGCAAGACCAUCAGUACCAGUUGAUAUCUAUGUUUUCGCACUUUUUAAUGAGGAUCUAAAGCCUGGUCCUGUGUCUGAGAGGAAUUAUGGAUUGUACUAUCCUGAUGGUUCUCCUGUGUAUAAUAUUGGAUUACAAGGUUAUCUUCCGCGCAUGGAUUAUUCAGCUUCGAAGAAAAAUGUCGACCGCAUCUUAAAUCUGUUCAUCAUUCCCAUAGCUUUAUUGAUAUAUUCUUUAUAGCUAAUAAUUUAUCUCAUAUGAUGGAAAAGGAAAAGAAAGUAUGGACACACAGUUAAUCCUUGAAAUUCCUCUAAGUCUGUUACCUGGGUUCUUUAUGGGGAAAAUUUGGGAGGUAAAGAUGACAAUCUGUUCCUAAAGGGCUGGAGAGAUUUUACCAUACAUGAAUAGGAGAACUGUAUACUUAGUGAUUGAGAUACAUUUUCAUUGAGUAGAAUUAUUCAUUCACAGAAGCUGAAAAUAAAGAGUCCUUGUAGCCAACCGGUGAUUCUCACCUGCACAGAUAACCUUAUUUUGAGGAUAUAUACAGAAUUUGAUUAUAUACUAUAUGUCUGAAUCCCGAUGGUUGUCUGUUCAUUUUUUCGAGCUGUUGACUCCGACGGAUACAAGAAAUUGACCCUGUAAACUACCCUUGUUCUGUAUUUGAGUGGAAUUUCAGGUGAUCUUGCAAUUCAUUUUGUCAUACUGAGAUCAGAUUUUGGUGGAAAAUCAGGAGAAUCUUUUGACCGGAGAAUUCUUAGGGCGGAUGUGUGAAUGUGCGGGGGGCAGACACGGGAAGUAGCAACGUCGUACACGUUUACUCCUCUUGCACGUUCGGUUCUUGCUUGUGUUUUUUAUGCUGACUGACGUUGCUUGUAGGAAGAUUCAAAUUUUGAGUCGGUGUCAGCACACAAUCUUUGUCUUUUCUUUUUCCUUUCUUCUACAUUUACAAACUGCCAGUAGGUAGGCAUCAAUAACAAAGUUGAUUUUUUCAUUCUGCUA